AUUGAACGCUGGCGGCAUGCCUUACACAUGCAAGUCGAACGGUAACAGGUCUUCGGAUGCUGACGAGUGGCGAACGGGUAAGUAAUACAUCGGAACGUGCCUAGUAGUGGGGGAUAACUACUCGAAAGAGUGGCUAAUACCACAUGAGAUCUACGGAUGAAAGCAGGGGAUCGCAAGACCUUGUGCUACUAGAGCGGCCGAUGGCAGAUUAGGUAGUUGGUGGGAUAAAAGCUUACCAAGCCGACGAUCUGUAGCUGGUCUGAGAGGACGAUCAGCCACACUGGGACUGAGACACGGCCCAGACUCCUACGGGAGGCAGCAGUGGGGAAUUUUGGACAAUGGGCGAAAGCCUGAUCCAGCAAUGCUGCGUGCAGGAUGAAGGCCUUCGGGUUGUAAACUGCUUUUGUACGGAACGAAAAGCCCCGGGUUAAUACCCUGGGGUCAUGACGGUACCGUAAGAAUAAGCACCGGCUAACUACGUGCCAGCCGCCGCGGUAC
Molecule: ribosomal RNA, 498 nt
Filed under: uncultured bacterium
Lineage: Bacteria
Description: partial 16S ribosomal RNA
Rfam family: Bacterial small subunit ribosomal RNA
Source: RNAcentral